Molecule: long non-coding RNA, 5106 nt
Organism: Callithrix jacchus (white-tufted-ear marmoset)
Lineage: Eukaryota; Metazoa; Chordata; Mammalia; Primates; Cebidae
Source: RefSeq, a predicted model, not a curated record
CCUCAGCCCUAGAUGAGCUUCACUUCACUCCCUGCAGGGUUCAAUCUUGAACCCUCAGGCCAGACAGCACUGGGGAGGAGGGGACAUCCUGGGAUGGGAUGGUGCCAUCUGCACACAAACAUGUACACAGGUGGCCUACAGCUGGAUGUUCUAGAUAUUCCUUUGCACACAUCUUCCCUGCACCUACCCCGACAGCAGACCUGAGCCUUAUUGUACCAGAGAGACAGUGGAGGACACAAACACAGACCCCAGCACUGCCUUCCAGGAGGGUACAGGAGCUGGGCCCACAAUCACAUGAGCCAGUGUGAAACAAGAGCUGGAAGGGGACACAGUGAGCUAUCUGGGGCCUUCCUGGAAGAAGGGACUGCUAGGCGGAGAGUUAAGGGAGUCACGAUCCCAAGGCAUACCAUGAGGAAGGAGAUAGAGACACAGGGGAAAAAAAGAUCGCAGAGAGUGAUCUCCUCCACCCUCCAGAUCUCAAGAGAAAGGCCCCAGAAGCCUCUAUCUGUCACUGAUAUAAUCUCAGAUGAGGCAACUGAGGCUCAGGGACAUAAAGUCACCUGCCUAAGGUCACGAGCACACCAGAGCUCUGCAUCCAGGCCUGGAGCCACCGCAGCUGCUGGGGCCCUGGGAGCAUGAAUAAUAAUGUGAUGAUAACAAAAUAACAGUGUCAGUAGUAAUAACGAGGAGGCCGCCGAGGAGAACAUAUGCGUGAUCUCUUCCAGCCACCCUGCUCCCCCAACAACAGAGGUACUAGGAUCCCUGUUUUACAGAUGAGUAAACUGAGGCUCGAAGGCCUGCCUCUGACCCUCUCAGUCUGAUACCACAACCCUUUACCCCCCAACCCCUCAAGCUCUCAAGAGCACAGACUGACUAUUCGCCCUCCAGGAAGACUGCCUGCCAGGAGGGUCAGAGCUGCAAGGCCUAAGGAAGCCUGGGAAUGGUCCUGAGGUCUGAAGGAAGGCCCCAGCAGGCAGCAGUGGCCCCAUACCUACCUGAGCCAGGCUGGCUCUGUCGCAACAGGCUGUGUGACCUUGCAGGGCCUUAACUGACCCACCUGUAAAAUAGGAGCACAGGAGCCCUAUACCGCCCCCCGCCCCCCGCUUGAAUGCUAACACAGUGCUGGGCACUAGGUGGACAGGAGAUACCAUGGACCCCAUGGUCAGGGAGCUCCCAGCCAAGGGACACACACAGAAGGGUUUAACAAAGUCUAUGCAGAGAACCCUGAGAGCUCAGACAAUGGGCAAAGUGCUGGGGAGCAGUAUCCAGAGGGCUUCUUGGAGGAGGUGAGGUAGGAAGUGGAAAUGCCUCUCCUCUGACCCCAUAACCAGCCCACAGAGAAUGCCAAGGGAGUGGGUGUGGCCCACUUAAACCCAAGACUGGGGUUGGACCUUGAAGAAACCCAGAACUACAGACCACAUCAGAGUGACAGGGAUGCAAGAUGCCCAGCUCAGCCUGCCCAUGACGCUCCCUUUGAUUCUGAACAGCUAUGGGAAGUGAGGCCUACUAUCCUGAGCAGGGCACACUUGGCCCCUGGAAACUCUGGAGGUGAGGGAACACACAAACAAGUCCCUGGGUCAAUGUUGGGUGCGCUGACUCCCUCGGAGCAGGCCCCAGGGGUCUCGCAAAUAUCAUCUCCUCUUGGAUCCUUCAGUUCCUCUGACACAUGCACCAGGCUCCUCUCUAGAAACCCACUCGUCCUCAGGCCCCAGCCACAGCACAGUCCCGGUCAGCUCGCUGCUCUCCCACGCAGCCCACCUCCACUGGGCAGCGAAGCAGCCCGAGCCAGGGCCAGCACCACUUCGAGUGGUUAUGCAUCCCUGAACCUUUCCGCAGCUCUCUGAAAGGAAUCUACAAUCAUCCCCAUUUCCUGGAUGAGGAAAAUGAGGCUUAGAGAACCUAAGGGACCUGCCCAAGGCCACACAGCUCAGGACACCCAUGUUCCUCAUCUUGCUGGCCUCUUUGUGGGUCAGUAUCCCUGACCUGUCCCAAGCCUGGCCACUUCUUGCCCCAGCCCUGACCCUUCUCCUGUCUGGACAAAGACCACACCAAAACCCAAGCUCCUCCCGAAACUAGGACGUGGUCUGGCGGAGGCUUGUGGUCAGAAACGCUACAGGGAGUCCAGAAAGCAGUGGAGGUCUCUGUGUACCCUGAGACCCCUGGGGCAUGGGGGUCUUCUGAGGCUCAGAUGGGGUAGUAGGGAAAGCUCCCACAGGCACACACGGAUGGGGGUGAUGGGGGUUAGGGGAUGGCUGUCUUCUGUGGCUUCGUCCCUGGGGAAGAGUCAACUUCAAGGCCCCUAUCGCCCAUACUUGGGAGGAGCUGCCCAUGGGAUUCUGAAGCUGAGGCACACGUCCUCUGGGAAUGAGGCUGAGCUCUACCCAUCGCUGCUCCACCCACUGGAGGCUACUGCUGAGGAGCCAGGCAAGCCCCCCCUCUCCCAGCCUCAGUGGAUUCAUCUGCACAUUGGGCCCAAUAAUGUCCUUUGAGCCCUUUGAAAAAGGCUUUGAGAAUAGGUUUAGAGGUUUUUCUUGAGAAAAGGGGUUUGGAAGAACUGGUCUAUUUUUGCCCGGGGGCACUGGAGACACUGGGGUCAGUGUACCAUAGCAGCUUGACAAUGGCUUGUUAAACACACAGACAAGCGGCUGGGUUCUUAUCCUCAGCAGGUCUGGUCCACGAACCCUUCCUAGGUGUCCACUCUGGGCCAGGAUACUGGUCUACCCUCUGGUCCUCACUGUCCAUCCAUCUGUCUGUCCCACAGCUGCCCAGCCAGGUCACUGGGGUCCCUCUCCCUGGCCUGUCCGGAAGCUACACGUCUCCAGUGGGUCAGCACUAACGUCAGCAAGACUGGCCGGGCGUGGAGCCCGCCACCUCCGGAACUGCCAAUUAAUUAACUUUUUCAAAUUAAUUUCCCAAGCAAAAUUCCAUAAUUACAUCUGUCUCCAUUAGCCCAAGCCGGGCAGGCAAGAGGACCCUGCAAUGACAUGGAAUGUGGUAUAAGGGGGUGACCAUAGCAGCCCUGGUGCCAGGUCAGAGAGGCCACUGGGGGCUGUUUCACCCCAGUCGGGCACUGACCUGGCAUCCUUAUGGAUGCUAUCUGGUAAGGCAGGGGGGCUGAGAGACCAGAGCCCCCCAGGAAAGGAGGUGGGGCCUCAGGGAGACCCAUGGCCUGCCCAGCUUAUCCCACUGUCCCCAUCCCCCUCCCCGGUGCCCCUAAAAUGACAGUGGGUCUUGGCAUGGCCCAGUAGCAGCACAGGCACCAUGAGGCUGAGGAGGCCACGGCUGCAGCGUUCUAAUUUCCCAAAGGGGCUGAGAUUAAUUAGCUCACACACAGGCACAGAGAGGGAGAGGAGAGUGGGAGCAGGAGCAGGCAGCGUCAGGCGAGGAGCUGGCUGGCACUCCCCCCUGCCCGCCCGGCAAGCAGUCGGCGGCCUUGACAGCCUGGGUGCUCUGAAGGUCAAUGGCCAAGCUGGCUGAGCCAGCAGAUUGGCACCGUCUCCUUCCCAGAAUUCUCAAGACCAAGGGUGGGGCACAGUGACCAGGAGGAUAGUCUGGGGGGAAGAGGCUCUGCUAUCACCACGAUCUAUUGGUUCUGUGCCAGGUGCUCUGUCCACACCAUCUUGUUUGAUGCACACAGUAACCCACAGAGGUAGGCACAGUGGUUCUCCCAUUUCUCAGAUGAGGACACUGAGGCUCAGAGCUGAGUGGGGCCCUGGUGUGGUCAAGGUCAAGUGUGGACAGUAAAGGUGAAGCUGAAAUGCAGGCUGGCCCAACUCUAGAGCCCAUCCUGCUUCCACUGGAGCCCCGUGUGGGUGUGAGGGCUGCAGGAGCUCCGGGCCUGGGAGACUGGAACACCAGUUACAGAACUCCUGAGUGUGUCUGUCUAUGCGGAAUGGACUUACCCUGCCUCAGAGAGUGCAGGCCAGACUCGCACAGUCUUUUCACAGGCGAAGAAACUGAGACCAGAAAGGGGAAGUGAUCUGAGGCUGGGACCAGCCUCUAGUAAAGUCAACCCGACUCAGUGACCUUUAGCGAGCCCUGACCCAGGGCCAUGCAGCACCUGGUGCUGAGUGGCACAUGGACCACGGGAUGGGGGGGUCAUUGUGGCUAUGUCCUCGUGAACCAAGGAGGAAGUGCCAGCUCAAGGGCACUUGCUCAACUACUCCCUGCAGGGUGCCCAGGAGAGGGAAAUGGAGCCCAUAGGGAGGGGUGGGGGAGGUGCACAACCCUGACUAGGCCCCAGGCAGCUUCCACAGGCCUAAACAUGGAGUUUCCCAGAACUUGUCUGCAUGAAGAACCCAGAAACCCCAAGGGGCAUCCAUCUGCUCCCCAGGGGAUCCCCCACCCACCACCCACCCCUCCCCUGGGGUUAAGGGAUUAGCAGUUUCAAGACUUUUAGGUUCAAACCUGGGAAGUGGCUUAAGACAGCAGAGGGUGGCCGGGUGCGGUGGCGCACGCCUAUAAUCCCAGCACUUUGGGAGGCUGAGACAGUUGGAUCAUGAGGUCAAGAGAUCGAGACCAUCCUGGUCAACAUGGUGAAACCCCAUCUCUACUAAAAAUACAAAAAUUAGCUGGGCAUAAUGGCACAUGCCUGUAGUCCCAGCUACUCGGGAGGCUGAGGCAGGAGAACUGCUUGAACCCAGGAGGCUGAGGUUGUGGUAGGCUGAGGUUGCGGUGAGCCGAGAUCGCGCCAUUGCACUCCAGCCUGGGUAACAAGAGAGAAAUUCAGUCUCCAAAAAAAAAAAAAACACAGCAGAGGGCCCUAGGGCAGUUAAGGGGCUGGGCAUGGGGAGAGGCUGGCCCAACUAGAACACUCCAAAUCCUGUGUGUGGGUGAGGGGAGCCCCUCAUCUCAGAGACAGGCUCAAGCCAUGCCAGGGUCCAGGUGGGCCUUGGAGUCAGGAUUCCUCUCCUAGCUCUGCAGUCUUCAGCUUAGAUAACCUCAGACAGGUUGCUGACCCUCAGCUGAGCCCAACCCCUAGCCUGUGAAAAGCAGCCACUGACAACCCCACCCUCAUCAUGAAGGGGUCAGUGUAGGGUCCACAUGCAGUAGGUGCUCAACUAACCAUAGCUGUGUUAUUGUUUUUACUGUCAUUAUCUGCCAGCA